This 253-nucleotide ribosomal RNA is filed under the name uncultured bacterium. RNAcentral describes it as "partial 16S ribosomal RNA". It matches the Rfam family "Bacterial small subunit ribosomal RNA", at positions 524 to 776 of the family's 1533-position model. The record is from RNAcentral.
UACGGGGGGGGCAAGCGUUGUUCGGAAUUACUGGGCGUAAAGGGCGCGUAGGCGGCCUGCUAAGUCGGACGUGAAAUCCCUCGGCUCAACCGGGGAACUGCGUCCGAUACUGGUGGGCUCGAAUCCGGGAGAGGGAUGUGGAAUUCCAGGUGUAGCGGUGAAAUGCGUAGAUAUCAGGAGGAAUACCGAUGGCGAAGGCAGGUCUCUGGGCUGACACUGACGCUCAUGCACGAAAGCGUGGGGAGCAAACAGG